Molecule: ribosomal RNA, 479 nt
Filed under: uncultured bacterium
Lineage: Bacteria
Description: partial 16S ribosomal RNA
Rfam family: Bacterial small subunit ribosomal RNA
Source: RNAcentral
GAUGAACGCUGGCGGCGUGCUUAACACAUGCAAGUCGAGCGAUGAAGUUUCCUUCGGGAAACGGAUUAGCGGCGGACGGGUGAGUAACACGUGGGUAACCUGCCUCAUAGCGUGGAAUAGCCUUCCGAAAGGAAGAUUAAUACCGCAUAACGUUGAAAGAUGGCAUCAUCAUUCAACCAAAGGAGCAAUCCGCUAUGAGAUGGACCCGCGGCGCAUUAGCUAGUUGGUGGGGUAACGGCCUACCAAGGCGACGAUGCGUAGCCGACCUGAGAGGGUGAUCGGCCACAUUGGGACUGAGACACGGCCCAGACUCCUACGGAGGCAGCAGUGGGGAAUAUUGCACAAUGGGGGAAACCCUGAUGCAGCAACGCCGCGUGAGUGAUGAAGGUUUUCGGAUCGUAAUGCUCUGUCUUUGGGGAAGAUAAUGACGGUACUCAAGGAGGAAGCCACGGCUAACUACGUGCCAGCCGCCGCUGUAA